GGCAAGUCGACGACCCCCAGACUUCGGUCUCAAUGGGAGAGUGGCGAACGGGUGAGUAACACGUGAGAAACCUACCCCGGAGAUGGGAAUAGCCCAGGGAAACCUGGAUUAAUACCCAAUACCCUGCCUGCACCUCAUGGUGCGUUCAGGAAACGCUCCGGUGCUCCGGGAGGGUCUCGCGGCCUAUCAGCUUGUUGGUGAGGUAACGGCUCACCAAGGCAUCGACGGGUAGCUGGUCUGAGAGGACGAUCAACCACACUGGGACUGAGACACGGCCCAGACUCCUACGGGAGGCAGCAGGAGGGAAUAUUGCCGCAAUGGGGCAAAGCCUGACGCAACGACGCCCUGGGGGAA
RNAcentral lists this ribosomal RNA (354 nucleotides) under uncultured bacterium. RNAcentral's name for it is "bacterial SSU rRNA". It matches the Rfam family "Bacterial small subunit ribosomal RNA", at positions 56 to 398 of the family's 1533-position model. The record is from RNAcentral.